CCGGCGUUGGAAGAACCGGAAUGGCCACCGUCGCCCUUCAUCCUAAACGUCUUCUCAUCAGCCACGGGGAGGUGGGGGAAGAGAUCGUUCCACCGCGAAGGCGAAGCCGCGGGAACGAUUGCCGCCAUGGAAUUGGUUCCACAGUGGGCGCAACAUCGCUACGGCGUGUUCUGGCAGGGUGCGCUAGCUCUAUGUUCACUGCGAAAGUGAUUUUGUCACAAGAAUAUCAUUGUCAGACAAUAAGUACCGGGUAAUCAAACCGCCUCAAGGUAUUGAAACGUGUAGAAUUCCACAGCUUCAUCUAGGGAAGUCUGAGAAAGGGAUUUACUGCGCAUUACUCGACUAUAAUAAUCGUCUUCGGGUCUGGACCCUUGGCGGAUCGUCGUGUGACCAAAGUGAGUGGAUAUGGAACCACUAUAGCAGCUUUCGCCCUGUAACGUUGCUGCCACGUCUGAACUGUCUCAACAAGUUCAUGACCCAUGGAUUUUACACAACAGCAAAAGCCAUGACAUUAGAUCAUUUACGAGGAGGAAUUCGAUUUCCAAUGGGAUUCAGAAGAAGGUAAUACUGUCCACACUGGGCAUUAUCCGAUGGAAGGAUCCUGUGAUAAAUAUAUUGAGAUUCUUGGUUUUCACCCUUAUAAAGAGAUCAUCUUCUUGCAUAGCUCGCGGGGCAGAGGAUUGGCAUAUCAUUUGGACAGCUCCAAACUUGAGGAUUUGGGCAACAUGCGGCCACAUAAUUUAUCCGAAAUAAAUAGUUACAUAGAAACAUGUUUUCCA
Molecule: long non-coding RNA, 779 nt
Organism: Panicum virgatum (switchgrass)
Lineage: Eukaryota; Viridiplantae; Streptophyta; Magnoliopsida; Poales; Poaceae
Exons: 2
Source: RefSeq, a predicted model, not a curated record